GUCUCUUACAGCUAUUCUUGCUCGGGGAAUCACCAGCAUAUUCCAAGUCUGGUAUCAUGUUCCCUGCCUAGAGCAUAGAGUCAGCUAUUGUCCAUGCAGCAGAAGACAUUGGAGAUUAUUUACCUAGGGCUCAGGACCACCUUACUUCUACCCCAAGACCCUGGCAAACAGGCAAGUGGUGUGUUACACGAUGAUUUCCACUCCACUUUGAGUUUUUAUAUCAAAAGGAUCAGAAGGUAAUUGUGAUGGAUAUUUUUAUCUGUCAACUUGACAAAAGCUAUCAUCUGAGAAGAGACUAUAAUGAGAAAAUGGAUAAUUAUCAAAUCAGGUUGGUAUGCAGGCUCUUCUGUGGGAGAUGGUGUUGAUUUUUUAACAGAUUGGUUGAU
RNAcentral lists this long non-coding RNA (386 nucleotides) under Rattus norvegicus (Norway rat). RNAcentral describes it as "long non-coding RNA NONRATT033067". Lineage: Eukaryota; Metazoa; Chordata; Mammalia; Rodentia; Muridae. The record is from RNAcentral.